This 1639-nucleotide ribosomal RNA is filed under the name Escherichia coli. RNAcentral describes it as "partial 23S ribosomal RNA". It matches the Rfam family "Bacterial large subunit ribosomal RNA", at positions 612 to 2236 of the family's 2925-position model. The record is from RNAcentral. Lineage: Bacteria; Pseudomonadati; Pseudomonadota; Gammaproteobacteria; Enterobacterales; Enterobacteriaceae.
AUAAUGGGUCAGCGACUUAUAUUCUGUAGCAAGGUUAACCGAAUAGGGGAGCCGAAGGGAAACCGAGUCUUAACUGGGCGUUAAGUUGCAGGGUAUAGACCCGAAACCCGGUGAUCUAGCCAUGGGCAGGUUGAAGGUUGGGUAACACUAACUGGAGGACCGAACCGACUAAUGUUGAAAAAUUAGCGGAUGACUUGUGGCUGGGGGUGAAAGGCCAAUCAAACCGGGAGAUAGCUGGUUCUCCCCGAAAGCUAUUUAGGUAGCGCCUCGUGAAUUCAUCUCCGGGGGUAGAGCACUGUUUCGGCAAGGGGGUCAUCCCGACUUACCAACCCGAUGCAAACUGCGAAUACCGGAGAAUGUUAUCACGGGAGACACACGGCGGGUGCUAACGUCCGUCGUGAAGAGGGAAACAACCCAGACCGCCAGCUAAGGUCCCAAAGUCAUGGUUAAGUGGGAAACGAUGUGGGAAGGCCCAGACAGCCAGGAUGUUGGCUUAGAAGCAGCCAUCAUUUAAAGAAAGCGUAAUAGCUCACUGGUCGAGUCGGCCUGCGCGGAAGAUGUAACGGGGCUAAACCAUGCACCGAAGCUGCGGCAGCGACGCUUAUGCGUUGUUGGGUAGGGGAGCGUUCUGUAAGCCUGCGAAGGUGUGCUGUGAGGCAUGCUGGAGGUAUCAGAAGUGCGAAUGCUGACAUAAGUAACGAUAAAGCGGGUGAAAAGCCCGCUCGCCGGAAGACCAAGGGUUCCUGUCCAACGUUAAUCGGGGCAGGGUGAGUCGACCCCUAAGGCGAGGCCGAAAGGCGUAGUCGAUGGGAAACAGGUUAAUAUUCCUGUACUUGGUGUUACUGCGAAGGGGGGACGGAGAAGGCUAUGUUGGCCGGGCGACGGUUGUCCCGGUUUAAGCGUGUAGGCUGGUUUUCCAGGCAAAUCCGGAAAAUCAAGGCUGAGGCGUGAUGACGAGGCACUACGGUGCUGAAGCAACAAAUGCCCUGCUUCCAGGAAAAGCCUCUAAGCAUCAGGUAACAUCAAAUCGUACCCCAAACCGACACAGGUGGUCAGGUAGAGAAUACCAAGGCGCUUGAGAGAACUCGGGUGAAGGAACUAGGCAAAAUGGUGCCGUAACUUCGGGAGAAGGCACGCUGAUAUGUAGGUGAAGUCCCUCGCGGAUGGAGCUGAAAUCAGUCGAAGAUACCAGCUGGCUGCAACUGUUUAUUAAAAACACAGCACUGUGCAAACACGAAAGUGGACGUAUACGGUGUGACGCCUGCCCGGUGCCGGAAGGUUAAUUGAUGGGGUUAGCGCAAGCGAAGCUCUUGAUCGAAGCCCCGGUAAACGGCGGCCGUAACUAUAACGGUCCUAAGGUAGCGAAAUUCCUUGUCGGGUAAGUUCCGACCUGCACGAAUGGCGUAAUGAUGGCCAGGCUGUCUCCACCCGAGACUCAGUGAAAUUGAACUCGCUGUGAAGAUGCAGUGUACCCGCGGCAAGACGGAAAGACCCCGUGAACCUUUACUAUAGCUUGACACUGAACAUUGAGCCUUGAUGUGUAGGAUAGGUGGGAGGCUUUGAAGUGUGGACGCCAGUCUGCAUGGAGCCGACCUUGAAAUACCACCCUUUAAUGUUUGAUGUUCUAACGUUGACCCGU